GCCAGACUCCUACGGGAGGCAGCAGUGGGGGAUAUUGCACAAUGGGGGGAACCCUGAUGCAGCGACGCCGCGUGGGUGAAGGAGCGUUUCGGCGCGUAAAGCCCUCUCGGCAGGGAAGAAGCAAGACGGUACCUGACUAAGAAGCCCCGGCUAACUACGUGCCAGCAGCCGCGGUAAUACGUAGGGGGCGAGCGUUAUCCGGAUUCACUGGGUGUAAAGGGAGCGUAGACGGCCAAGCAAGCCAGGGGUGAAAGCCCGGGGCCCAACCCCGGGACUGCCCUUGGAACUGCUUGGCUGGAGUGCGGGAGGGGCAGGCGGAAUUCCUGGUGUAGCGGUGAAAUGCGUAGAUAUCAGGAGGAACACCGGUGGCGAAGGCGGCCUGCUGGACUGCGACUGACGUUGAGGCCCGAAAGCGUGGGGAGCAAACAGGAUUAGAUACCCUUGUA
This 446-nucleotide ribosomal RNA is filed under the name uncultured bacterium. RNAcentral describes it as "partial 16S ribosomal RNA". It matches the Rfam family "Bacterial small subunit ribosomal RNA", at positions 330 to 792 of the family's 1533-position model. The record is from RNAcentral.